CCUACGGGUGGCAGCAGUGAGGAAUAUUGGUCAAUGGGCGCGAGCCUGAACCAGCCAAGUCGCGUGAAGGACGACUGCCCUACGGGUUGUAAACUUCUUUUAUAAAGGGAUAAAGUGAGGCCCGUGUGCCUUUUUGUAUGUACUUUAUGAGUAAGGAUCGGCUAACUCCGUCCCAGAAGCCGCGGUAAUACGGAGGAUCCGACCGUUAUCCGGAUUUAUUGGGUUUAAAGGGAGCGUAGAUGGGUUGUUAAGUCAGUUGUGAAAGUUUGCGGCUCAACCGUAAAAGUGCAAUUGAUACUGGCAGUCUUGAGUACGGUUGAGGUAGGCGGAAGGCGUGGUGUAGCGGUGAAAUGCAUAGAUAUCACGAAGAACUCCGAUUGCGAAGGCAGCUUACUAAUCUGCCAUUGACAUUGAUGCACGAAAGUGUGGGUAUCAAACAGGAUUAGAUACCCUAGUAGUC
RNAcentral lists this ribosomal RNA (460 nucleotides) under uncultured bacterium. Its description in RNAcentral is "partial 16S ribosomal RNA". It matches the Rfam family "Bacterial small subunit ribosomal RNA", at positions 338 to 795 of the family's 1533-position model. The record is from RNAcentral.